AGCUGUGGAUGGACACGUAGGACCCCUUCACCUCCUUCUUCAAGGUCUGGGUGGCCUCUGGGACCCCCUGGGGCUCCUCGUCCUCCUCGUAGUCCAGCAGCUCAUUGUCGUUCUCAGCCAUGGUGUCCUGUGAGGAGGUUUGAAGUUGAUCCGAAAGAACCGAACAGUCAGAUCGGCUUUUUAGGAUAACUAGAGACAAAAUGUCUUACCUUAAAGAUGGUACGUAUUGAACACGCAAGAAUCAACACCGCAUGGGCAGGCCUCAACAC
Gadus macrocephalus (Pacific cod) is the source of this 269-nucleotide long non-coding RNA. RefSeq lists it as uncharacterized. The record is from RefSeq and is a predicted model, not a curated record. NCBI's taxonomy places the organism in Eukaryota, Metazoa, Chordata, Actinopteri, Gadiformes, Gadidae. The transcript has 3 exons.